Molecule: long non-coding RNA, 1038 nt
Organism: Gambusia affinis (western mosquitofish)
Lineage: Eukaryota; Metazoa; Chordata; Actinopteri; Cyprinodontiformes; Poeciliidae
Exons: 2
Source: RefSeq, a predicted model, not a curated record
AAGUCUGGAAACAGAACAACUGCUGAACAGAAACAUGAACUUCGACAUCCCAGUCUACCUGAAAACCACAGAAGAAAACCACAACAUCGACAUCACCCGCCACGGCGCCAACGUGGGCCACACCUACCCAGCGAUUUCAAUAGUGAGCACAGACGAUGAUUUAUCCUGAUCGUUCAGGAUUUAGUUUGUUCUUUGUGGAAACCUCCUCCAUGUUGCCAUGCCAACGGUUCGCCGUAACGGCGGCUCUUACAGUUCAACCACAUGCCUUCAGAAGUGCAUUAAGUCCUGAUCUGUGGUGAAGAGGAAAUGUUAUUUAUUAUGUGAAUACUUCCAUGAGUUUUCCAUGUUCACUCCAAAGUGUUAAUGAAUUUUUCUUUUUGCUUUUCCAACAUUGUCUUUGCCCGUCUGUUCAGAGAACAGUUUUCUCUUUGAGUCUCUUUCUGUGUUCAGCCUGGACUGAACAUCUGAAGAACUGGGCGUCUUCAUCAAACUGUUUCCUGGUUCUGAUUUAAACCGGGUCAAAGUUCUCAGGUCUUAACGGGGAACAAGUCUGGAGACUAAAAGACUAGUAUUUAAUUAUGAAACAGGAUGUUAAUAUUUCUGAUCAUGCUUUGCUGGAUAAUAUUAGGGUUUCUUCUGUUUAUUGCAUUAAUAUUAUUGCUGCUGAGAUCACCAUGGUUACAGCGUUUGUAAACAGUGUAAAUAUAUUUCCUCCCUCAGAGAUGUGACUGUAAAUCAGGACUCUCCUCAAUGCACUUUGAUCAAUGUUCUCUGUAAAUAAGAUUGUAUACACUGACUUGAAUCUUUUUUUUGUUUUUUUUUUUGCUAUGGCUGGUUUCCUCACCAGAGUUCAGAUGUAUUUAAGGAGAGCAGAGGAGGAAAAACAAAUGAAUUUGGUAAAAAUGACUAUUUUGUAUGUUUGUGCUGUUGCUGUGAACUUUUUAUAUCCUUGUACAGUGAAGGAGAAUGAAAUGAUCUGUAUCUGAAGGAACUGAUUCACAAAGAAAUUUUGAAUUAAAACAUCAGUGUUCAAAAAUC